GAGAUUUUCUACAAAUCACGUACACAUUGCAAAAAUAAUUCAACCAGAGAGGUAUGGUAGUUUCUUGGAGUGAAAGGAGGACCAUGACAUCGGGCAUGUAUAAUAAAGUGAGGUCCAUCUAUGACAAUGGAGGUAUGGCUUGCUUCACAUAUUGUAACAUGAAUGGGCAUAUUUUUGUAAUUAUCUGCAUCUGCAUGUAUGUACUCUGAUUGAGUUGAAUGGGCAUCGAAUCGAAUUCUCCAAAUUCCCUCUUCCAUGCAUCUGUCGAUGCUUUGAUUGUUUAUUUAUUCUGAGUGUCUAGUGCAUGCAGCAUGCAGCAGAGCUUAAGGGCAUCAGAUUCACAUCUUAAUUAAAGUAGCUAGCUACUUAAUUAAUCAAUCUUGAACCUAAACCAAUCAACGAGAACUUAACAUGGGAUCACUUUUCAACUUGUAAGGAGAAAAAUAAAAAAGCACAAACAUAAAAGGGGAUAAGAAAGAAAAAGAUAUAUGUGAAUUUAAUCAACUUGUUGGAUAAAUGAUUCUCGUUUAAUUUGUACGAGUAAUUCCAUAUUGAGCGUCUUAUCUAAAACCUUUAGAUCUUUUAAUUGCUGGAUCAAACUAAUUAAUUUGAUCCAAUGAUUAAAAAAUAAGAUCUCAUCUAAAGACCUUGAAUAAGACUCUCACUAUAGAAUUAUACCAUUUGCGUACAGUACAGCUCUCGACUGGUUUACAAUCAAAUGCUGAGCUGCUUCCGAUUUCACAAGUCUGCAGACAAAAUUCAAGUGACAAAUCUGGGCUUUGCUGAAAAACUACAAGAAGUAUUUAUAGGCCCUUUUGAUCAGCAAAUGGGCUUAGCCUACACACAUGUAGCCCUGUCACGUGACUCAUCAUGACCCAUCCAGGAUCCACCUAUCUAUGGACCACGUGCGCUCUCUGUGAUCCAUUCCAUGCAAAUUGCAGUGCAUGCAGCAGAGCAGAUCAGUCUGUUUUCUUCAAGGCUUUGUUCUUUUUCUUCAAAAAGAUGACAACUUUUAUGUACGUACUGGUAAUGAAACCCAUCUGAAAUUUACUAUUUCCCUCUCCAUAUUUUAUCGGUUGAAGCUUACCCAUAACUUCAACACUCACAAUUUCACAACACACAGAGAGAUUAAUAAUAUCCAACUUCCAAGAUCAAAAUUGAAACCUCUUCUUCUCUCCUCUUUUCUUGUCAGAUCUUUUGGUCUAAUUUAUACCAAAAAAACUAAAAAUAUACCAGCAAUUCAGAACUCCUUUAUUG
RNAcentral lists this long non-coding RNA (1257 nucleotides) under Prunus dulcis (almond). RNAcentral's name for it is "sRNA ncRNA". Lineage: Eukaryota; Viridiplantae; Streptophyta; Magnoliopsida; Rosales; Rosaceae. The record is from RNAcentral.